Ostrinia furnacalis (Asian corn borer) is the source of this 961-nucleotide long non-coding RNA. RefSeq lists it as uncharacterized. Lineage: Eukaryota; Metazoa; Arthropoda; Insecta; Lepidoptera; Crambidae. The record is from RefSeq and is a predicted model, not a curated record. The transcript is spliced from 2 exons.
UUAAGAUCUUUUAUAUUUUUAGGUUUCGAAGUUAAUUUAGGGCGACUUACUGGUGCAGAAAGAACUCGGCGGUAUAGAGAAAAAAUGAAACGAGAUAAUCCUGAAAAAUUAAGAAGGAGAGAUUUGACCAAAGAAGAGCUGGAAGAAAGGAGAAAAAGAUGGCGCGACCGCAAACGCAAAGAAAGAAUACGAAAGAGAGAAAGGGAAGAAAUAAACAAUUUGUUUAUGUUUAGUCUUUGAAACAAUUUUCAUUACUUAGAUAAACACAUAAAAAUGUUGAUUUCUUUACAUAACGCAAUAGCUUGGCGCCUAAGACACACUGCUUUUGAUAUGGGUUGGCGACUAAUAUGUUAAUGAGUUACAUUAAAAACAUUUUUAUUUUUAAUGUGAGUAAACUAACUAUAAAAGUUAAUCAAAUUAAACGCAGUGCAAAGAUAAAACAAGGUUGCAGUAACAAAACGCAAAUUGACAGACCUACCUGUUUGACAAUGACAGUGACGUAUCGAUACGUAUGUUUCCGAGAUAUCAAAAUUUUCUUUUUCUCUACAAAAAUGUGUGUAAUAUUUAAUCACGAAACGUGGAUUUUGAUAAGUGAUUGUGUGUGGUGAAUUUCGUACCUAAUGAGACCUUAAAAUAAUAUUAAAUGUUUUCCAACAUAACCUCUAAAGUGCAGUUUAGUUACUUUCUGUUGUUUUUGUAGUGUGUGAUAGUGCAAUAUUCGUAGAAAUUCAACAAAAACUUUUAUGAAAAUGGUGCUGUGGGCAUCAAGUUAUUCUCUAAAAGUGUUGUUGCUCCUCUUAAAGAAGAAUUCAAUAACAAACUGGACAAACUGCUGACCCGUAAGAAAAGUAACAGCGCAUAUUACAUUAAUGAAGUCCGAUAUCAAGAUUUCAUUCGUGAAAUCAAAGAAAUAAAAAGAAAAUGUCAUAAAGACUUCGAUGAUUAUAAAAUGUUGGCAAAU